UCCUAGGGGCAUUGGAUAUUUCUCAUAGAUAUUGUUUCCGAUAGCUCAGCAUUUAAUUUUUUAUUGUAAAGUCAAUGCUAUUUGAUUUUAUAAAUGUGGUGAAGGCUAUGAUUGAUAUAUACCAAGCUGUAUGAUGUAUUUCCUGAGAUGGAAGGGAGGAGGCACAUUAACAUGUUUAAAAAGCAAAUAAAUAAAUGAUGUGUAAGUGAUAUUACUUAAAAAAAUGAAGGAGCAGAGUCAGGGAAAAAGAAAAUAAAGGCAGUUUGAAAUUCACACUAGUUGUUUUCGCCAGCUCUGCCUGCCCUCCCACAUCCUGUCAAGUGUUAUAGUCUCCUGUACAUGGAGACUGUGAAGACAAUGGGAAGCCACUAAAUGAGGAGGAGGAGGCUGAUGGGAUAUGAGGAAGCCUUAGAGCAAAGGCCACUUGCCAUUACUUUCCCUGAGCCAGCCAUGCAGUGCAGACUUCUCUGCUGUGUGGCCCUUUUUUUCUGGGGAGCAGGUUCCAUGGACACUAAGGUCACCCAGAGUCCUGGACAUCUGGUCAAAGGAAAAGAACAGAAAGCAAAGAUGGAUUGUGUCCCCGUAAAAACACAUAGUUAUGUUUAUUGGUAUCGCCAGAAGCUGGAAGGAGAGUUUGACUUUUUGGUUUACUUAGGCAAUGGAAAGAUUACGGAUAAAAUAGAAGGGUUUGAUCAGCAAUUCUCAGCUCAAUGCCCCCAAGAUGCAUCCUGCAGCCUGGAAAUCAAGUCCACUGAGCCAGGAGACUCUGCACUGUAUUUCUGUGCCAGCAGUGAAUCCACAGUGCUGAAUGUGAGCUUUUCUUAGCACACAAACUCAUCGUGGACCCAGCUCAGGAAAUAGUGGUGUGUUAGGUGAACAGGAA
Non-coding RNA from Equus caballus (horse), 883 nucleotides. The record is from the annotation of a RefSeq genome assembly. Lineage: Eukaryota; Metazoa; Chordata; Mammalia; Perissodactyla; Equidae.